GGCCGCGUAGCGCAGUGGAUUAGCGCGUUGGACUUCGGAUCCAAAGGCCGUGGGUUCGAAUCCCACCGUGGUCG
This is a transfer RNA of Selaginella moellendorffii, 74 nucleotides long. It matches the Rfam family "tRNA". Rfam says of the family: Transfer RNA (tRNA) molecules are approximately 80 nucleotides in length. The record is from Rfam. Lineage: Eukaryota; Viridiplantae; Streptophyta; Lycopodiopsida; Selaginellales; Selaginellaceae.